GGUGAAGCCCAGCUUGCUGGGUGGAUCAGUGGCGAACGGGUGAGUAACACGUGAGCAACCUGCCCUCCACUUCGGGAUAAGCCUUGGAAACGGGGUCUAAUACCGGAUAUGAGCUCGCAUCGCAUGGUGUGGGUUGGAAAGUUUUUCGGUGGGGGAUGGGCUCGCGGCCUAUCAGCUUGUUGGUGGGGUGAUGGCCUACCAAGGCGUCGACGGGUAGCCGGCCUGAGAGGGCGACCGGCCACACUGGGACUGAGACACGGCCCAGACUCCUACGGGAGGCAGCAGUGGGGAAUAUUGCACAAUGGGCGCAAGCCUGAUGCAGCGACGCCGCGUGAGGGAUGACGGCCUUCGGGUUGUAAACCUCUUUCAGCAGGGAAGAAGCGCAAGUGACGGUACCUGCAGAAGAAGCGCCGGCUAACUACGUGCCAGCAGCCGCGGUAAUACGUAGGGCGCAAGCGUUGUCCGGAAUUAUUGGGCGUAAAGAGCUCGUAGGCGGUCUGUCGCGUCUGGUGUGAAAUCCCGAGGCUCAACCUCGGGCUUGCAUCGGGUACGGGCAGACUAGAGUGCGGUAGGGGAGACUGGAAUUCCUGGUGUAGCGGUGGAAUGCGCAGAUAUCAGGAGGAACACCGAUGGCGAAGGCAGGUCUCUGGGCCGCAACUGACGCUGAGGAGCGAAAGCAUGGGGAGCGAACAGGAUUAGAUACCCUGGUAGUCCAUGCCGUAAACGUUGGGCACUAGGUGUGGGGCUCAUUCCACGAGUUCCGUGCCGCAGCUAACGCAUUAAGUGCCCCGCCUGGGGAGUACGGCCGCAAGGCUAAAACUCAAAGGAAUUGACGGGGGCCCGCACAAGCGGCGGAGCAUGCGGAUUAAUUCGAUGCAACGCGAAGAACCUUACCAAGGCUUGACAUGUACGAGAAAGCCCCCGAGACGGGGUUCUCUUUGGACACUCGUACACAGGUGGUGCAUGGUUGUCGUCAGCUCGUGUCGUGAGAUGUUGGGUUAAGUCCCGCAACGAGCGCAACCCUCGUCCUAUGUUGCCAGCGGGUUAUGCCGGGGACUCAUGGGAGACUGCCGGGGUCAACUCGGAGGAAGGUGGGGAUGACGUCAAAUCAUCAUGCCCCUUAUGUCUUGGGCUUCACGCAUGCUACAAUGGCCGGUACAGAGGGCUGCGAUACCGUAAGGUGGAGCGAAUCCCAAAAAGCCGGU
Molecule: ribosomal RNA, 1205 nt
Filed under: uncultured bacterium
Lineage: Bacteria
Description: bacterial SSU rRNA
Rfam family: Bacterial small subunit ribosomal RNA
Source: RNAcentral